This 480-nucleotide ribosomal RNA is filed under the name uncultured bacterium. RNAcentral describes it as "bacterial SSU rRNA". It matches the Rfam family "Bacterial small subunit ribosomal RNA", at positions 28 to 507 of the family's 1533-position model. The record is from RNAcentral.
GACGAACGCUGGCGGCGUGCCUAACACAUGCAAGUCAACUUGACUGAAGGAGCAAUCUGACAGUAGAGUGGCGCAAGGGUGCGUAACGCGUAAGUAACUUGCCCAAGGUAAGGAAUAACGUCGAGAAAUCGGCGCUAAUACCUCAUAAUGCAGCGGAUCCGCAUGGAUAUGUUGUUAAAGGUUUACCGCCUUGGGAUAGGCUUGCGUCUGAUUAGUUAGUUGGUGUGGUAACGGCACACCAAGGCUACGAUCAGUAACUGGUCUGAGAGGAUGAUCAGUCACACUGGAACUGAGACACGGUCCAGACUCCUACGGGAGGCAGCAGUGAGGAAUAUUGGGCAAUGCUCGAAAGAGUGACCCAGCAACGCCGCGUGGAGGAUGAAGGUAUUCUAUAUCGUAAACUCCUGUGAGAGCAGACGAAAGACAGAUUAUUAAUCUGGAUGACUGUAUGCUCAGAGGAAGCCCCCGGCUAACUACGUG